Molecule: long non-coding RNA, 655 nt
Filed under: Spirodela polyrhiza (greater duckweed)
Lineage: Eukaryota; Viridiplantae; Streptophyta; Magnoliopsida; Alismatales; Araceae
Description: long non-coding RNA (SPOL_LNC001681)
Source: RNAcentral
AAGCCAGAAAAGAAAUCAAAGAAAUCUCCAGAGAAGUUGUGGUGGAGAUGCAGAGCCCGGUAGGCUCCAAAACGGGACGAACAGAUCUAUAACGUUGAAGACCAAACCAGACCCAGCCUCCGUCAGAUUUGCCGGCCGAUGAAACUCGCCGGAGAAGGCCGGUCGCCUGCACCGCAGACUUCCUCCUCGCCGUCGACGACUUGCCCGCCUGCCCAAUGAAAUCUUCACAUCGACCCACCUGACCUGUUAAGCUGGGACUUGGCUCCAUCUUCUCCCAUUCAUCCCCAUCAUCAUCUUCCUCCUCUUCAUUGGGAUGCUCGCAAUCUCACCUUUGAGGAGUAGGAACGAUGAUGAGAGAGGGGGAGAGUCGGCCGGUGACUUCUCAGCGCUGGGCAGCGGGGGGGCCGACAAUUUCUCCGGGGACUUCUCGGCGGGAGACUUGCUGGAGAGCAUCGACUUCGAUGACUUGUUCGUGGGGUUCGACGACGGUGACACCCUGCCGGACCUGGAGCUGGACCCCACGGAGAUGCUCGCCGAGUUCUCCAUCGGCGGCGGGGAGGACUCGGGGACGACGACGGCCUCAAGGAGCACCGGAGAUCAAGAUCUAGAGAGAACCGACGAGAGCGAGAAGAGGGAGGCCGAAGAGGACGAGAAG